This 3992-nucleotide ribosomal RNA is filed under the name Drosophila melanogaster (fruit fly). RNAcentral's name for it is "eukaryotic LSU rRNA". The stretch from base 573 to 3464 matches the Rfam family "Eukaryotic large subunit ribosomal RNA". Lineage: Eukaryota; Metazoa; Arthropoda; Insecta; Diptera; Drosophilidae. The record is from RNAcentral.
ACUCUAAGCGGUGGAUCACUCGGCUCAUGGGUCGAUGAAGAACGCAGCAAACUGUGCGUCAUCGUGUGAACUGCAGGACACAUGAACAUCGACAUUUUGAACGCAUAUCGCAGUCCAUGCUGUUAUGUACUUUAAUUAAUUUUAUAGUGCUGCUUGGACUACAUAUGGUUGAGGGUUGUAAGACUAUGCUAAUUAAGUUGCUUAUAAAUUUUUAUAAGCAUAUGGUAUAUUAUUGGAUAAAUAUAAUAAUUUUUAUUCAUAAUAUUAAAAAAUAAAUGAAAAACAUUAUCUCACAUUUGAAUGUGAAAAACGAAGAGAAAUAUUUUCUUUUUCAAUCAAAUAAUACUGAGAAAUGUCUAGCAUAAAAAAUUGAAAUAUUUUUUCAUCUAGAAUUGUCUCUUAUUAAUGAUUCGGAAAUAGAAAAAUCUUGGUUAUGUUAUUAUUCUUCGUUGGUUCGUUAAAAUGGAUAAAUAAAAACUUUGCAUACAAGAAUUAAUAAAAAUGUUAUAACGAAUUUAAUUAAAUGUUUUAUCAUUAUAUAUAAAGAAUUUAUGGCAAGAUAAAGUUAUAUACAACCUCAACUCAUAUGGGACUACCCCCUGAAUUUAAGCAUAUUAAUUAGGGGAGGAAAAGAAACUAACAAGGAUUUUCUUAGUAGCGGCGAGCGAAAAGAAAACAGUUCAGCACUAAGUCACUUUGUCUAUAUGGCAAAUGUGAGAUGCAGUGUAUGGAGCGUCAAUAUUCUAGUAUAAGAAAUUAACGAUUUAAGUCCUUCUUAAAUGAGGCCAUUUACCCAUAGAGGGUGCCAGGCCCGUAUAACGUUAAUGAUUACUAGAUGAUGUUUCCAAAGAGUCGUGUUGCUUGAUAGUGCAGCACUAAGUGGGUGGUAAACUCCAUCUAAAACUAAAUAUAACCAUGAGACGAUAGUAAACAAGUACCGUGAGGGAAAGUUGAAAAGAACUCUGAAUAGAGAGUUAAACAGUACGUGAAACUGCUUAGAGGUUAAGCCCGAUGAACCUGAAUAUCCGUUAUGGAAAAUUCAUCAUUAAAAUUGUAAUAUUUAAAUAAUAUUAUGAGAAUAGUGUGCAUUUUUUCCAUAUAAGGACAUUGUAAUCUAUUAGCAUAUACCAAAUUUAUCAUAAAAUAUAACUUAUAGUUUAUUCCAAUUAAAUUGCUUGCAUUUUAACACAGAAUAAAUGUUAUUAAUUUGAUAAAGUGCUGAUAGAUUUAUAUGAUUACAGUGCGUUAAUUUUUCGGAAUUAUAUAAUGGCAUAAUUAUCAUUGAUUUUUGUGUUUAUUAUAUGCACUUGUAUGAUUAACAAUGCGAAAGAUUCAGGAUACCUUCGGGACCCGUCUUGAAACACGGACCAAGGAGUCUAACAUAUGUGCAAGUUAUUGGGAUAUAAACCUAAUAGCGUAAUUAACUUGACUAAUAAUGGGAUUAGUUUUUUAGCUAUUUAUAGCUAAUUAACACAAUCCCGGGGCGUUCUAUAUAGUUAUGUAUAAUGUAUAUUUAUAUUAUUUAUGCCUCUAACUGGAACGUACCUUGAGCAUAUAUGCUGUGACCCGAAAGAUGGUGAACUAUACUUGAUCAGGUUGAAGUCAGGGGAAACCCUGAUGGAAGACCGAAACAGUUCUGACGUGCAAAUCGAUUGUCAGAAUUGAGUAUAGGGGCGAAAGACCAAUCGAACCAUCUAGUAGCUGGUUCCUUCCGAAGUUUCCCUCAGGAUAGCUGGUGCAUUUUAAUAUUAUAUAAAAUAAUCUUAUCUGGUAAAGCGAAUGAUUAGAGGCCUUAGGGUCGAAACGAUCUUAACCUAUUCUCAAACUUUAAAUGGGUAAGAACCUUAACUUUCUUGAUAUGAAGUUCAAGGUUAUGAUAUAAUGUGCCCAGUGGGCCACUUUUGGUAAGCAGAACUGGCGCUGUGGGAUGAACCAAACGUAAUGUUACGGUGCCCAAAUUAACAACUCAUGCAGAUACCAUGAAAGGCGUUGGUUGCUUAAAACAGCAGGACGGUGAUCAUGGAAGUCGAAAUCCGCUAAGGAGUGUGUAACAACUCACCUGCCGAAGCAACUAGCCCUUAAAAUGGAUGGCGCUUAAGUUGUAUACCUAUACAUUACCGCUAAAGUAGAUGAUUUAUAUUACUUGUGAUAUAAAUUUUGAAACUUUAGUGAGUAGGAAGGUACAAUGGUAUGCGUAGAAGUGUUUGGCGUAAGCCUGCAUGGAGCUGCCAUUGGUACAGAUCUUGGUGGUAGUAGCAAAUAAUCGAAUGAGACCUUGGAGGACUGAAGUGGAGAAGGGUUUCGUGUGAACAGUGGUUGAUCACGAGUUAGUCGGUCCUAAGUUCAAGGCGAAAGCCGAAAAUUUUCAAGUAAAACAAAAAUGCCUAACUAUAUAAACAAAGCGAAUUAUAAUACACUUGAAUAAUUUUGAACGAAAGGGAAUACGGUUCCAAUUCCGUAACCUGUUGAGUAUCCGUUUGUUAUUAAAUAUGGGCCUCGUGCUCAUCCUGGCAACAGGAACGACCAUAAAGAAGCCGUCGAGAGAUAUCGGAAGAGUUUUCUUUUCUGUUUUAUAGCCGUACUACCAUGGAAGUCUUUCGCAGAGAGAUAUGGUAGAUGGGCUAGAAGAGCAUGACAUAUACUGUUGUGUCGAUAUUUUCUCCUCGGACCUUGAAAAUUUAUGGUGGGGACACGCAAACUUCUCAACAGGCCGUACCAAUAUCCGCAGCUGGUCUCCAAGGUGAAGAGUCUCUAGUCGAUAGAAUAAUGUAGGUAAGGGAAGUCGGCAAAUUAGAUCCGUAACUUCGGGAUAAGGAUUGGCUCUGAAGAUUGAGAUAGUCGGGCUUGAUUGGGAAACAAUAACAUGGUUUAUGUGCUCGUUCUGGGUAAAUAGAGUUUCUAGCAUUUAUGUUAGUUACUUGUUCCCCGGAUAGUUUAGUUACGUAGCCAAUUGUGGAACUUUCUUGCUAAAAUUUUUAAGAAUACUAUUUGGGUUAAACCAAUUAGUUCUUAUUAAUUAUAACGAUUAUCAAUUAACAAUCAAUUCAGAACUGGCACGGACUUGGGGAAUCCGACUGUCUAAUUAAAACAAAGCAUUGUGAUGGCCCUAGCGGGUGUUGACACAAUGUGAUUUCUGCCCAGUGCUCUGAAUGUCAAAGUGAAGAAAUUCAAGUAAGCGCGGGUCAACGGCGGGAGUAACUAUGACUCUCUUAAGGUAGCCAAAUGCCUCGUCAUCUAAUUAGUGACGCGCAUGAAUGGAUUAACGAGAUUCCUACUGUCCCUAUCUACUAUCUAGCGAAACCACAGCCAAGGGAACGGGCAUUAAUGCUCCGGUGUGGAGAACUGGAGACGCGGCUCGCUAUGCCACCACCGCCGCCGCCGCCGUCCAAGGCGAACACUACUGCCGCCAAUGCUCCCCAGAUGCCUCAGGUUGCACCCAUCGCUGCCCCGCGGACAACCAAGGUUCGUGAGACGUGGUCAGCGGUGGUGAAGUGCGACGACCCUGCGCUAUCGGGGAAAGCCAUAGCCGAAAAGGUGCGGACGAUGGUUGCACCCUCCCUCGGAGUCAGAGUACACGAGGUACGUGAGCUCCGUCGAGGUGGUGGUGCGAUCAUUCGUACUCCUUCGGUUGGAGAGCUGCAGAAGGUGAUGGCAUCGAAAAGAUUCGCAGAACUUGGACUGAAUGUGGCACGGAACGCGGCCGAGAAGCCGAAGGUCAUAGUCUAUGACGUCGACACAGCCAUCGGCCCAGAAGAGUUCAUGCAGGAGCUUCACGAGAACAACUUCGACAGUGAAAUGACUCUGGCCCAGUUCAAAAAGUCGGUGCACCUGGUGACCAAGGCGUGGUCGGCUACUGACGGUGCCACCGUAAACGUGACGCUAGAGGUAGACGACCGGGCGAUGGCGAAACUUGAUGUAGGACGUGUCUACAUUAAGUGGUUUUCGUUCCGAUGCCGAUCGCAAGUCCGCACCUAUGCCUGCCACAGAUGUGU